GACGAACGCUGGCGGCGUGCCUAAUACAUGCAAGUCGAACGCUGAAGAGAGGAGCUUGCUCUUCUUGGAUGAGUUGCGAACGGGUGAGUAACGCGUAGGUAACCUGCCUUGUAGCGGGGGAUAACUAUUGGAAACGAUAGCUAAUACCGCAUAACAAUGGAUGACACAUGUCAUUUAUUUGAAAGGGGCAAUUGCUCCACUACAAGAUGGACCUGCGUUGUAUUAGCUAGUAGGUGAGGUAAUGGCUCACCUAGGCGACGAUACAUAGCCGACCUGAGAGGGUGAGCGGCCACAAUGGGACUGAGACACGGCCCAGACUCCUACGGGAGGCAGCAGUAGGGAAUCUUCGGCAAUGGGGGCAACCCUGACCGAGCAACGCCGCGUGAGUGAAGAAGGUUUUCGGAUCGUAAAGCUCUGUUGUAAGUCAAGAACGGGUGUGAGAGUGGAAAGUUCACACUGUGACGGUAGCUGACCAGAAAGGGACGGCUAACUACGUG
RNAcentral lists this ribosomal RNA (497 nucleotides) under uncultured bacterium. RNAcentral describes it as "partial 16S ribosomal RNA". It matches the Rfam family "Bacterial small subunit ribosomal RNA", at positions 28 to 507 of the family's 1533-position model. The record is from RNAcentral.